CUACGGGAUAUUUUUGGAGCUGGGGGCCUUGGGCUGCAUCGACCCGAGGAAAGGAAAGACAGUGGAAAGGAAAAUGGACAAGAAAAGGAACCGCAAGCUAGAAUACCUCCUCUCUCCUUUUUAAACACAAAAAACCAAAAACCAAAAACCAAUCACACAAAUAAACAGAGCUGGACACAGCAGCCCUCCAGGAGCAAGGUUGGAGCUCAGACAGGCCAAACAACCCGGGGUCACAUGACGAGGCGGAUGGAUAGUAGGAUAUAGAGGACGGUUAUUGUCGACAAGCUAUGAGACCGAGAAUGUAGAGAAACACAAAGCAGGUGGCAGAAUGGGACGGAGUGGGGAGGUUGGAAGUAGCCAGGAUGUCACGAUGAUUUGGAGGC
RNAcentral lists this small RNA (383 nucleotides) under Histoplasma capsulatum var. duboisii H88. Its description in RNAcentral is "Histoplasma capsulatum H88 hypothetical RNA". The record is from RNAcentral. Lineage: Eukaryota; Fungi; Ascomycota; Eurotiomycetes; Onygenales; Ajellomycetaceae.